GGCCUCGUAGCUCAGUUGGCUAGAGCGUCACUAAAGCCUUCCCCUUGCUGGCGUGGGUUAGAAUCCCGGCGAGGCCA
This 77-nucleotide transfer RNA is filed under the name Schistocephalus solidus. It matches the Rfam family "tRNA". From Rfam's summary of the family: Transfer RNA (tRNA) molecules are approximately 80 nucleotides in length. Their secondary structure includes four short double-helical elements and three loops (D, anti-codon, and T loops). The record is from Rfam by way of RNAcentral. Lineage: Eukaryota; Metazoa; Platyhelminthes; Cestoda; Diphyllobothriidea; Diphyllobothriidae.